Molecule: transfer RNA, 85 nt
Filed under: Felis catus (domestic cat)
Lineage: Eukaryota; Metazoa; Chordata; Mammalia; Carnivora; Felidae
Rfam family: tRNA
About the family: Transfer RNA (tRNA) molecules are approximately 80 nucleotides in length. Their secondary structure includes four short double-helical elements and three loops (D, anti-codon, and T loops). Further hydrogen bonds mediate the characteristic L-shaped molecular structure. tRNAs have two regions of fundamental functional importance: the anti-codon, which is responsible for specific mRNA codon recognition, and the 3' end, to which the tRNAs corresponding amino acid is attached (by aminoacyl-tRNA synthetases). tRNAs cope with the degeneracy of the genetic code in two manners: having more than one tRNA (with a specific anti-codon) for a particular amino acid; and 'wobble' base-pairing, i.e. permitting non-standard base-pairing at the 3rd anti-codon position.
Source: Rfam by way of RNAcentral
GCCUGAGUGGCUCAGUCAGUUGAGCGCCUGACUUCAGCUCAGGUCAGGAGCUCCCAGCUCACGGGUUUGAGCCCCGCCUCGGCCU